AUAUUGUCAACAUGUUCUGAAAGUGUGUAAUAAUAAUGACAAAUUAGUAUAUAAAUAAUAUUAUACACAAAAAAUAUGUUAGACAAUAAAGUGAGAGAGAUUCGUAUUCAUUAUUAUUAUAUUACAUUCAGUAAAAUAACUGAAUUUUGCCUACUUUAUUUCUACUCAUAAAGUCGAAUAACUUAUUUUAUAAUAUAUACUUUCGGUAGUAAAAAUAAAUUCAAUACUAUUUUACGACUUUAAAAUAACUUAUCGGAUAUCGGAGUAUAACUCGAAAAAAAUUUUUUUUCAAUAACUCAAGCAUUAUGACCUAAAACAAAAAUAAAAAUAUAUCUAGUGUAAAAUGUUACAAUGCUAAUAAUAUUAGUUUUUAAUGCAAUAAUUUUUUUUCCGUUUGUAUCUGCGCAUAGUGAAACUAUAAAGAACGAGGAAGAAUGCAAGAUAGCUGACUUGUGUGUACACGAUAAGGUCCCGAUGUGUGGUAUUGAUUCGUGCGGCGAAAUGAGGACUUUUAUAGACACGUGUGACAUGCACGAGUUCAACUGCGACAGUAAAAAAGAUUUCAAACAAAGGCCUAUCCAUGAGUGCUGGGUCACCUGCAAAAGAGGACGCUCAUUCAAGAAACCCGAGUUUAGAACGGAUUGCAACUUGAACAUUAAAAAUAGAGUAUAAUUAAUUACAACAGUGUUCCUUUAUUUGUUUUACUUAACGUUGUCUUACAAUGCCUUCUGUUCGUUAGCUCUAUAGUAACUUUCAUAAUUUACUUCACCUUAAAAGAAAUAAAACCUUUGUUAGUCAGUAGGCUUAUUACUGAUUAUCACAAUAGUGCUUUAUUUAUUGGUUUUCACAAUACGGUUUCUAUAUUGCACAAUUAAACGUAAUAUUUGACUAGUACUUUAUGCCAGAAAAAGCAAUAAUUUACAAAUGAGUACAAUGAGUAAUUUUUUAUAUAUUUUUU
Molecule: unclassified non-coding RNA, 958 nt
Filed under: Melitaea cinxia (Glanville fritillary)
Lineage: Eukaryota; Metazoa; Arthropoda; Insecta; Lepidoptera; Nymphalidae
Description: misc RNA ENSMCXG00005016140.1
Source: RNAcentral